GCCAUGCCGCGUGUGUGAAGAAGGUCUUCGGAUUGUAAAGCACUUUAAGUUGGGAGGAAGGGCAGUAAGUUAAUACCUUGCUGUUUUGACGUUACCGACAGAAUAAGCACCGGCUAACUCUGUGCCAGCAGCCGCGGUAAUACAGAGGGUGCAAGCGUUAAUCGGAAUUACUGGGCGUAAAGCGCGCGUAGGUGGUUCGUUAAGUUGGAUGUGAAAGCCCCGGGCUCAACCUGGGAACUGCAUCCAAAACUGGCGAGCUAGAGUACGGUAGAGGGUGGUGGAAUUUCCUGUGUAGCGGUGAAAUGCGUAGAUAUAGGAAGGAACACCAGUGGCGAAGGCGACCACCUGGACUGAUACUGACACUGAGGUGCGAAAGCGUGGGGAGCAAACAGGAUUAGAAACCCUUGUAGUCCAGACCAAGUCUNGGCCU
RNAcentral lists this ribosomal RNA (430 nucleotides) under Pseudomonas putida. RNAcentral's name for it is "bacterial SSU rRNA". It matches the Rfam family "Bacterial small subunit ribosomal RNA", at positions 391 to 816 of the family's 1533-position model. The record is from RNAcentral. Lineage: Bacteria; Pseudomonadati; Pseudomonadota; Gammaproteobacteria; Pseudomonadales; Pseudomonadaceae.